RNAcentral lists this transfer RNA (94 nucleotides) under Mycobacterium paragordonae. Its description in RNAcentral is "tRNA-Asp". Lineage: Bacteria; Bacillati; Actinomycetota; Actinomycetes; Mycobacteriales; Mycobacteriaceae. The record is from RNAcentral.
UGGCAGCUGGGCUGAUGGCUCGGGCCCGCGGCGGUCGGCUGCGCCGGCCUUGCGACCCUCGCGGGGUUGAUGGCUCGGGCCCGCGGCGGUCGGC